AAUGGGUUUAUUAAGUCUUCUAAACUUAUGUUAGGUGUUCCUGCUCAUUG
Molecule: transfer RNA, 50 nt
Filed under: Angiostrongylus cantonensis (rat lungworm)
Lineage: Eukaryota; Metazoa; Nematoda; Chromadorea; Rhabditida; Metastrongylidae
Also listed under: 1 other name
Description: tRNA-Ser
Source: RNAcentral